RNAcentral lists this ribosomal RNA (279 nucleotides) under uncultured bacterium. Its description in RNAcentral is "partial 16S ribosomal RNA". It matches the Rfam family "Bacterial small subunit ribosomal RNA", at positions 506 to 784 of the family's 1533-position model. The record is from RNAcentral.
UGCCAGCAGCCGCGGUAAUACUGAAGGUGCAAGCGUUAAUCGGAAUCACUGGGCGUAAAGCGCUCGUAGGUGGCUUUGUAAGUCAGAUGUGAAGGCCCACGGCUCAACCGUGGAAUUGCAUUUGAUACUGCAUCACUAGAGUCUUGUAGAGGGGGGUAGAAUUUCAGGUGUAGCGGUGAAAUGCGUAGAGAUCUGAAGGAAUACCAGUGGCGAAGGCGGCCCCCUGGACAAAGACUGACGCUCAGAUGCGAAAGCGUGGGGAGCAAACAGGAUUAGAUA